This 350-nucleotide ribosomal RNA is filed under the name uncultured bacterium. RNAcentral describes it as "bacterial SSU rRNA". It matches the Rfam family "Bacterial small subunit ribosomal RNA", at positions 32 to 361 of the family's 1533-position model. The record is from RNAcentral.
AAUCAACGCUGGCGGCGUGCCUCAGACAUGCAAGUCGAACGCGAAAGUCCCCUUCGGGGGACAAGUAGAGUGGCGCACGGGUGAGUAACACGUAGGUAAUCUACCUUCGGAUGGGGAAUAACAACCGGAAACGGUUGCUAAUACCGCAUAAUGCAGCGGCACCUAAUGGUGACAGUUGUUAAAGCGGGGGAUCGAAAGACCUCGCGUCUGAAGAGGAGCCUGCGGCGGAUUAGCAGUUGGUAAGGUAAUGGCUUACCAAGGCGACGAUCCGUAGCCGGCCUGAGAGGGGCGGUCGGCCACACUGACACUGACAUACGGGUCAGACUCCUACGGGAGGCAGCAGUCGGGAA